CUGUGUCACACUAUUGUGACAAACUACUGCUAGGCACUAUGAUACUUCCACCUUGUGGUUAUCAGGGUUCCUGAUCUACAUCAAGAGAGUUUGAUGGGACUUGUGAAAUAUCAUAAAUCUAUGGCUCCGACCACACACAUACCACUGCUUCCAUGCAUACAGGCAUGGGGUCAAUUCUAGUAUCAGAGUCAAGUUGUGCCAGGGAGG
Molecule: long non-coding RNA, 207 nt
Filed under: Elaeis guineensis (African oil palm)
Lineage: Eukaryota; Viridiplantae; Streptophyta; Magnoliopsida; Arecales; Arecaceae
Description: long non-coding RNA (EGUI_LNC053068)
Source: RNAcentral